CCUUGAGACCUUUCCCGACGAAUCGGAUGUGGUUUCAGAUCAACAGAGAGGUGCAAUGGCAACAGAGGAAAUGGAACACAAUGACAGUGGGCCAGUUUUUGACCAGACCCCAACUCCUCAUGAUGAUACACUCAAAGGUACUACAAACUCUGGAUCUGAUCCACCCCUUACAUAGCAAGAG
Long non-coding RNA from Zea mays, 181 nucleotides. RefSeq lists it as uncharacterized. NCBI's taxonomy places the organism in Eukaryota, Viridiplantae, Streptophyta, Magnoliopsida, Poales, Poaceae. The transcript is spliced from 3 exons. The record is from RefSeq and is a predicted model, not a curated record.